Acinonyx jubatus (cheetah) is the source of this 2290-nucleotide long non-coding RNA. RefSeq lists it as uncharacterized. The transcript is spliced from 2 exons. NCBI's taxonomy places the organism in Eukaryota, Metazoa, Chordata, Mammalia, Carnivora, Felidae. The record is from RefSeq and is a predicted model, not a curated record.
UUUCUGCUUCUUGAGCCCAUCUCUUCUUUGUGCUCCUGGGAACAGAGUGGUUUUGCUCCUAAGGAGCGGCCAGUUUUGCAUUUUACAAUUUAAAAGUUUUCAAGUGACUGAGCUGUAAAGAAGGUAUGCACCGUAAUUUGAUGUCACUAUGAACUACAAAUAAAUUCCUCCUCACCCAAAUUUAGCCCAUGGAAAUAUUUUAUACUGGGAGAACUCUGGUGCCCAGCUCCCAAGGCUCCCAAGGUUAAGUUUUUCCUUUGCCUUCCUCCUAUUUAUAUCUUAACCCUGUUUUCACAGCACAACAAACAUUUAGGAAGGGAAGAUGUCAUUAUAGAAAUACUACCAUAUUACACGUCUUCCUCGGCUUACGAGGGGUUACCUCCUUAUAAACCCAUCAUAAGUUGAAAGUAUGGUAAGUGGAAAACACAUGUAAUACAUCUAAUCUACUAACCAGCUGACCUUAAACAUGUUCAGAACUCUUCACCUCAGCCUACGGUUGGCAAGAUCAUGUAACACAAAGCCUAUUUUGUAAUAAAAUAUUGAAUAUCUCAUGUAAUAUGUUGAAUAUUGUACAGAAAGGGAAAUACAUAAUGGCUGUGUGGGUGCAGAAUGGUUGUCAGUGUAUUGGUUGUUUACCUUCAUGAGCCUGUGGUUGCCUGGGGGGUGGGACUUGCUUCUCCUGCCCAGCAUCGGGAGAGAGGAUCCUGCAUGCCACCGCUGGCCCAGGAAAAAGUCAGAAUUUAAAAGUUGACCUCUGGGGGCGCCUGGGUGGCUCAGCCAGUUAAAGCGUCUUACUUUGGAUUUCAGCUCAGGUCAUUAUUUCACAGUUGUGAGAUCAGGCCCCGCAUUGGGCUCUGCCAGGCAUGGACCCUGCUCGGGAUUCUCUCUCUCCUUCUCCCUCUGCCCCUCCCCAGCUUGGCACACAGGUGCUCGCUAUCUCUCAAAAAAACCCAUUUUUUUGACUUAUGGUUUCUGGUGCAUCCAUAUUGCUUUCACACCGCCAUAAAGUUGGAAAAUCAUAAGUUGAACCAUCGUUAAGUCCGGGACCAUCUGUGAUAUACCGUAUAUCACUGUAUUACCUGUUUUUUAUUUUGUUUUGUUUUGUUUUGUUUUUUUGUUUUUGUUUUUUAAACAGCGUAUUGAGAUAUAAUUCAUAUACCAUACACUUCACUCAUUUAAAAUACACAAUUCACGGGGCGCCUGGGUGGCUCAGUCAGUUAAACAUCCGACUUCGGCUCAGGUCAUGAUCUUGUGGUCCAUGGGUUCGUGCGCCGUGUUGGGCUCUGUGCUGACAGCUCAGAGCCUGGAGCCUGCUUCGGAUUCUGUGUCUCCCUCUUUCUCUGCCUCUCCUCUGCUUGUGCUGUGUCUCUCUCUCUCUCUCAAAAAUAAACAUUAAGAUAAAAAAAAAGAAAGAAAAUAAAAUACACAAUUCAUCUUUUUCUAGUAUAUUCAUACGAUCAUGCAGCCAGUCAUCACGAUCUAAUUUUAGAACAUUUCCAUCGUUUCAGAAGGAAACCCCACACCCAUUAAGCAGUCAUUCUUCAUUCCUGUGUCUCUCCCAGCCCCUGGCAACCCCUGCCCUACCUUUCUUUGCCUGCCAGUUUGCCUGUUCUGGGCAUUUCGUGAGAAGGGAAUCAUAUAAUAUGUGGUGUUUUGUAACUAGCUUAUUUAACUUAGCAUAAUUAUUUUACACUUUGGGGUGCUAUUGUAAAUAGAACCAUUUUCUUAAUUUCAUUUUUGGAAUUAUUACUAAUGUAUAGAAGUACAAGUGAUUUUUGUUUAUUGAUCGGUUUUGUAUCCUGUCACCUUGCUGAAUUUGUUUAUUAGUUCUGAGUUUUCCAGUGAAUUCCUUAGAAUUUUCUUUGUGGAAAAUCAUGUCAUCUGCAAAUAGAGAUAGUUUUACUUUUUCAUUUCUACUUUGGAUGUCUUUUAUUUCAUUUUCUUGCCUAAUUGCCCUGGUUAGAACCCUCAGCUCACUGUUGAAUGGGACAUACUCAUCUUGUUCCUGAUUGUAGGGAGAAAGCAUUUAAUCUUUUAUCAUAAAGUAUGAUGUUGUCUUUGGGUUACUUGCAGAUGGCCAUUACCGGGUUGAGGAAGUCCCUUUUUAUUCCUAGUUUGUUGAGUGUUUUACAACGAAGAAGUGUUGGGUUUUGUCAGAUCCUUUUUCUGCAUCUACAGAGGUGAUGAUGUGGUUUUUAUCCUUUAUCGUAUUAAUAGAGUGUAUUAUGUUAAUUGAUUUUUGAAUGUUAAACCAGCCUUGGUUCUUGAAAUAAAUCCCUCUUGGUCAUGA